CUCUUCAGCACCGUUCCAGUGAUAUCUGUGGAGGUUUGCCCAACAGAGAAUGAUAUAAUUCAGAAAUUUGCUUUGGGUUGUGAAUACAUGCUGUGGUGUCCAUCACAACUGUCUUCUGUUUGACAUUCCUUUGACAGAAGUUCCCCUGCAGCUGACACCUGCCUGGAAGCACAGUAGGGCAUUUUUGGAGGAAAAAGGAGCACCCCUGGACCUGCAACAUCCACAAUCACUGCUUCUGCCCCCAGCUUCAGCAGAUCUGGCAUUCCCAAAGGACCUCGCGACUAUGCGACCUACCAGUUACGUUCCUUAUUUUUAACCUACUGUUUCCAUUAAGUGUUUGAGUGCAUUUGGACUAGGAUUUCAGGUGCAAUUUCCUUUGAAAACAGUAUGUACCAUUCCUGUCAAACUUUCAAACUGUACCACUUUGAAAGCUGGUGUGUACCAACCAACACAUGGUAGGUAGCAAGAUCUGGAAAAUUGUUACAAAACCAUAUUACUCUGCUAAACUGAAUGAAGCCAAUGAAGUCCACCAGGACCAAUUACACUCAGCCUAACCCAAAAC
This 562-nucleotide long non-coding RNA is filed under the name Struthio camelus australis. Its description in RNAcentral is "lncRNA (ENSSCUG00000018293.1)". The record is from RNAcentral. Lineage: Eukaryota; Metazoa; Chordata; Aves; Struthioniformes; Struthionidae.